GUGGGGAAUUUUGGACAAUGGGCGCAAGCCUGAUCCAGCCAUGCCGCGUGCGGGAAGAAGGCCUUCGGGUUGUAAACCGCUUUCAGCCGGAAAGAAAUCGCCAUUCCUAAUACGAGUGGUGGAUGACGGUACCGGAAGAAGAAGCACCGGCUAACUACGUGCCAGCAGCCGCGGUAAUACGUAGGGUGCGAGCGUUAAUCGGAAUUACUGGGCGUAAAGCGUGCGCAGGCGGUUUCUCAAGCCAGAUGUGAAAUCCCCGGGCUUAACCUGGGAACUGCAUUUGGAACUGGGAGACUAGAGUGUGUCAGAGGGGGGUGGAAUUCCACGUGUAGCAGUGAAAUGCGUAGAGAUGUGGAGGAACACCGAUGGCGAAGGCAGCCCCCUGGGAUAACACUGACGCUCAUGCACGAAAGCGUGGGGAGCAAACAGGAUUAGAAACCCGGGUAGUCC
RNAcentral lists this ribosomal RNA (450 nucleotides) under uncultured Hydrogenophilaceae bacterium. RNAcentral's name for it is "bacterial SSU rRNA". It matches the Rfam family "Bacterial small subunit ribosomal RNA", at positions 354 to 796 of the family's 1533-position model. Lineage: Bacteria; Pseudomonadati; Pseudomonadota; Hydrogenophilia; Hydrogenophilales; Hydrogenophilaceae. The record is from RNAcentral.